Long non-coding RNA from Dicentrarchus labrax (European seabass), 3029 nucleotides. RefSeq lists it as uncharacterized. The transcript is spliced from 7 exons. The record is from RefSeq and is a predicted model, not a curated record. Lineage: Eukaryota; Metazoa; Chordata; Actinopteri; Moronidae.
UGUGUGUGUGUGUGUGUGUGUGUGUAUCUGUGUGUGGGUUGGCAUUCAUCACGUCCUGGGGACAACAAACUGUUUACACAGUCACGUCAUGGGGACCUCUAACAGUAUGGGGACGAAAAAUGAGGUCCCCUAAAGGGAAACUCUUUUAAAUGAAUGCAGGAGUCUAUCUGAAGGUGCCUGUGUGGUUUUUAGCUUUGGCCCAUUGGGCAUGUUUUCCAGUUAGUGUGUGUGUGUGAACGGGGCAUGCUUGCGCCCCUUACUGUAUGAGCUGGUAAGGCACUCACCGUUCCACACACACAGAUCUUCCAAAUAUGGUAUGUUACCGCCCACUUCCUGGUCCCCAUUAAGAAGGAUUUUAGGAGCAAACACAAUUUUCAGUGUUUAAAGGGAGCAUCGCAAAGGCUCUUCAAUUAAAGAUGUUUGUCACAUAAAAAGAGGAACUACAACACCACAAGGUAAGCAAUAUUAUCUUAUUUACUUACUUGCUAUAAUCAUUAUUUGUAUAGAUGACCAUUUUAAACCACUAAUGAGGUUAAUUAGUGUUAAUUAGUUAGUAGGAUAGCAAGUUAGCUUUAAUUAGCAACAGAAGGCUAGUGUAACUAGCAAAUUUACAAUGUUUUACUAACAAUGUUUUUAGCUUUCCCUGAAAGCUACUGUUAGUUGUUACAUGAUGGAUGGAUUCUGUGCAUUUCUAGGAGUUUAUACCAACUAAAAAAAGUGAAAUAUUUUUCAGUGUGUAACAGAGAAAUUUAAAAUACAUUUCCAGGUAAUGAAUUUAGUAAUAUAUAGAGGUGUAACUUAAUCCUAGGUAUAUAUAGGUGAGAUAUAUUAUAGAAAAAUUGUAAAGAGAUGUUUUGAUGAUUUAAAGCAAGCUGUCCAUGUUAAGAGAAAGUGCAUCUGGACAGGUAUUUUUGGGACCUGAGCUUGACAAGGCUGCAAUUUGAUGUUUGUAUCUUUAAAGUGACUAGUGAAGUGAUUCCACAUGCCUCCUCUACAUAAAUGGGUCCUGAUUGAUUUUACUACCAGAAAAAAGUAAACUUAGCUUACUUAUAAUUAUUAAUAUUAUUUUAUUAUUAAAAAUGAAUAAUUUAGAAUAGGGCAUGGCAAGAAGGGAAGGCAUCUGACACUGAGCCGACAGGAAAGGGCGAGUAUGGGGAAAAAAGUUAUAGAGCUAAGCCUCUGAACACCCACACAGUUUUUUCAGUUUAUCUUGCUGAUUAUUAGUCUUCUUGGGACUGUAUGGGUGUGUAUACUGUGAUUGAUUGACAUCUUCCUGAGUCUUCUGUCAGCUUUGUUACACCUGUUAGGGCAGGACAAAAUAUACCUUCACCAUUCGUAUUGGAGAUUUAGAUUUGUGACCUCAUGGAGUUUCAUCAAAGCUUAAGCCCACCCUAAACCUGAGCAGAGGUCUAAUCAGCCAUAAUAACUGAAAACACCUGUGUGGAUGUUCACUUAGAGCCUCUAAUUGUAUUGUAAUAGAACUAAAGCCAAAGCUGUCUCAUUAAACAUUUCUCUGCAGUUUUAAAUGCCACCAAGGUCAGUCCUCUUAAGGAUGCCCUUCAGCAUGUUCACUUCAUAUACAUAUUGAAAAUGAUUUUGAGACAUUUAAUUGCAAAACUUCAGGAUGCAUUAGAUAAGCUUAGGUCAAUAAAGCUGCCAUCAAAUGCACUAAUAAUUGGCAAUUGUGUUUUUAGGACAUAUUGCCACAGACUAAUUAACAUUCGUAAUGUCCUGUUUUUUUUGAAAAUGUAUUACUUUGUCUUACAGGACGUGGUGUAUUUGCCCUAUCUUCAUUCUUCAAAGGAGAUUUUGUACUGGAAUACAGAGGAGACAUGAUAGAUGAUGCAGAAUCUCAAUGGAGAAGGUGCAUUUAUCACUCAUCAUGUGUUGCAUUCAUGCUUCAUUCAAGUGGAGAGGGAGAACAUGGUGAUGACCAUGAAUGCAGCUGAUGCUGUCAUUCCUGUGGAAAGCUCCCACCAUGCUGUCUUGUUAGAGACGCAGAUGACUGAAACUUUGAGUCCAUGAGACACUAAUCAACAGAUGACCAUGAAUGCAGCUGAUGCUGUCAUUCCUGUGGAAAGCUCCCAGCAUGCUGUCUUGUUAGAGACGCAGAUGACUGAAACUUUGAGUCCAUGAGACACUAAUCAACAGAUGACCAUGAAUGCAGCUGAUGCUGUCAUUCCUGUGGAAAGCUCCCAGCAUGCUGUCUUGUUAGAGACGCAGAUGACUGAAACUUUGAGUCCAUGAGACACUAAUCAACAGAUGACCAUGAAUGCAGCUGAUGCUGUCAUUCCUGUGGAAAGCUCCCAGCAUGCUGUCUUGUUAGAGACGCAGAUGACUGAAACUUUGAGUCCAUGAGACACUAAUCAACAGAUGACCAUGAAUGCAGUUGAUGCUGUCAUUCCUGUGGAAAGCUCCCAGCAUGCUGUCUUGUUAGAGACGCAGAUGACUGAAACUUUGAGUCCAUGAGACACUAAUCAACAGAUGAAAGGCACAGAUGUUGAAGAUUCAAAUGAAGUAUCCGACUCUAUACAAGUUUGUAUUGUUGCUUUCAGUUUUGUCUUGAGAGAACGCAAAUGAGCAGGACUCAAUAAAAAGUUUAAAUGUAUAAUUUAAAUGAGAGUUUGACUUCUUGAACUAAGGAAAUUAUUUUUUACUAUGAAGUAAUGCAGCAAACAACACAGACAAACGUGAAUACUAGUUUUAGGGUUGUUGAGUAUUCUGUGACUGAGAAGUACAAUAUUCCACAGUUUCUGGGUAGUUGACUGUGGUUAAAAAUAAGAACCAUGUGAGACGUAAACGAAGAAAAACCCUUACAGUGAAAUUAAGGUUGAAAAGUUUGAUGGGUGAGACAACAAUUUAGUAAUUCACUACUAAAUUCUUGGUACUUAAGUGACCCCUGAUAUCAAGAUUAAGUUAGAACAAUGUCUCUAGUAUAAAUGAUAUGUAAAUCAUUUGAUUCCCAUUUUAUUUGUAUAACAAAUUGUAUGUUUACCCUGUUUUCGCUAUAAAUAAAAACUAAAAAAGUA